Molecule: ribosomal RNA, 456 nt
Filed under: uncultured bacterium
Lineage: Bacteria
Description: bacterial SSU rRNA
Rfam family: Bacterial small subunit ribosomal RNA
Source: RNAcentral
GUACGGGAGGCAGCAGGUGGGGAAUAUUGCACAAGUGGGCGUAAGCCUGAUGCAGCCAUGCCGCGUGUAUGAAAAGGCCUUCGGGUUGUAAAGUACUUUCAGUCGUGAGGAAGGUGUUAAGGUUAAUAACCUUAGCAAUUGACGUUAGCGACAGAAGAAGCACCGGCUAACUCCGUGCCAGCAGCCGCGGUAAUACGGAGGGUGCGAGCGUUAAUCGGAAUUACUGGGCGUAAAGGGCACGCAGGCGGUUAAUUAAGUUGGAUGUGAAAUCCCCGGGCUUAACCUGGGAAUGGCAUUCAAGACUGGUUAGCUAGAGUCUUGUAGAGGGGGUAGAAUUCCAUGUGUAGCGGUGAAAUGCGUAGAGAUGUGGAGGAAUACCGGUGGCGAAGGCGGCCCCCUGGACAAAGACUGACGCUCAUGUGCGAAAGCGUGGGGAGCAAACAGGGAUUAGAUACC